This 16658-nucleotide long non-coding RNA is filed under the name Triticum aestivum (bread wheat). RNAcentral's name for it is "long non-coding RNA (TAES_LNC005594)". The stretch from base 11601 to 11735 matches the Rfam family "MIR1120/MIR1122 microRNA precursor family". The record is from RNAcentral. Lineage: Eukaryota; Viridiplantae; Streptophyta; Magnoliopsida; Poales; Poaceae.
UCAAAUAUCUGAUAUAACCCUUUUUCGAUCAACAUCUGAUAUUACUCAAUGUAUCUCAGGAUGGAAAUAUAUCUGAUAUUACUCACAUAGGUGAUGGUAGAUACUAACAACAGUAAACACUCUGUAAAAUAUCUAAAAAAUGGCCCUAUCUAAGCAAGGUUCGGUGUGGUAGAAAUCAAAAUCAGGCCAUAGUAUUAGUCCCAGAUAACUGAUGUACACCGUUUUUCACACUGCAUAAUAGUAAACUACAUGGUUGAGUAUUAGAUAUAUAACUUUGUCCACACACCUUCAUCCAAUUUGCUUGAUAUAUAACUUUGUCCAUAUAUAACUUUGUCCACACUCCAUUUGAUUUGGUUGCAUGUUGCAACGCAUGUUGCCUUACCGGCGUCGACGCCGAUGCCCGACUGCUCUUGGAGGCGUCAACAGUGGUUUCAAGGCUGAGGGUGAGGAAGAAGGGCUGGUCGCCGGCUCCAUUUUGCAUCUGCAGAACCCAAGAACUAAAGAUCAACCAAAUGAUGUGCAGUGAAGGCUAUACGUGGUUGAAUGAGUUUGCAUCAGGAAACAUGUCAGCUCAAAUGAGAACUUCCACAAGAAAAAUGCUCUCGGUGAUAGCGUUUGUUUAUCACUGCAGAUAAAACUGGUUAUAUAGUGCAGUCCUCUGUUUAUGUACAUGCCAUGCCAGACUACUAUGCAUGAAAUUUAUACUGAGACAUGGCUGCUAAUCUUUCUAGUUUAUAUAUUCAAUUGACUUUCUAAAAUAAUUACACCAAUUCACAUACACGCAUGGUCAUUGAAUUUGACAAUCACUUAAGUUUACAGUAUAUGGCUCUUGCGAGUGCCCUAUUUGUUGAUUGUUAUUUUUUCUUAAUUAGUUCACCACAAGACGAUACAUUUGUUCAGUUGUUCUAACUAUAAAAAGAUUAUCUCGUGAAUAGGUGAAGAAAACAAAUACUUAUUGAACAACAUGAUAUGACAAUAAAGGGCAACCUGGUGCAUGUAGCUCCCGCUUGCGCAGGGUCCAGGGAAGGGUCCGACCACUUUGGGUCUAUAGUACGCAGCCUUUCCCUACAUUUCUGUAAGAGGCUGUUUCCAGGACUUGAACCCAUGACCUCAUGGUCACAAGGCAGCAGCUUUACCACUGCGCCAAGGCUCCCCUUCAACAACAUGAUAUGACAAUGAUGCAAAGAAAAUCAUUAUUCAUAUGAAUCGUUUAAAUAACUCGAUCAAUAUAAUCACACAUGAUUAAUAGGAAAGAACCGCAUCAAUGUUGGCCAGGGACAGGGUAAUGUCCUGUCAGAGAUGCUUUUAGCUGGUUGACACCCUGCAUAAGAUGAUGCUUCUCGCUGCAACGAAACAAAGGAAAUCUCAACACAAAGGAACAUACUGCUCCUCUUCGAAAAGUAGUAAGAAAAGGAGAAGCAGGAUAUACUCACCCCUGAUACAAGGACUCCUCUUCUGUGUGGGGUAGGGUUCUAUACCCGAAAGUUGAUGGUGGUUGUCAUAGCCAAAAUACAAGCACAAUCGACAGUAAUCACCUCCCGGGGAGCAGGAAUUUUCUGCAUUACUAACAAAGGUAAAGAGCAAAAGCUCCCAAAGUUAUGACCCUGUCGAAUUUACCAAAGUUGCAAUAUUUUGCUAGUGCCAAAACAAAAUUAGCAUCAGACAACAGGUUUCAUGCUUGCGUGAAAUAAAAUCAUGAUUUGGUGCUCCCAGAAAUCUAGCUGGUAACAGUUUAACACAAAAUACUGCAAUUAUACUGAAUCAGAUGUUGUACUAACACAAAAAAAGGCAAGGAUAAGCUAAACCACCAAGCAAAGCCAAGUUCAUUAAGAACAUGCGCUGAUAGACACCCAAAACAUAUCAUUUAAGAAUCAAACAGGAAGCAAAAUGUAACUCUUUUAAACAUGCAAGAUCUACUUACACUGCCAUGAAAUGACUACAAAUUGUACACAUAUUUGUUUGUAUUGCAACAGGGUGCAGUGCCAGGGUGCCAGGCCGAAAUCCAAAACAAUAUGGUAGUGCAAUAGGGACGGACAGAAAACCACAGUUGCACCCAUACGUGGGUUGUAGCUCGUGUAGUGUGCGUAGUUUGCAUCAGGCACCUAUUGGACAAACAUUUUCCAUUUUUCAGACUUCACAAGAGUUUGGUGCACCGCUAAUUCAUAAAAUGGAAGAAACCAAGUCAGCAGUUUAGCUCAUGACAUAACAGAACUACCAGCAAGUUACAGACACUUAACUACUGACAACACCGUAGAGAUAUAUGAUUCCACCAUUAUAUUAAAAAAUAAACUUGAAGUCCCUACAUGUUAUUAGGUUGAGCUAAUCCUUGAACAGGAACGCCAUCAUAUUAAUCAAUAAAGCUAAAUAAAGGCAAAAAAACCAAAUUAGCGGAUCUUCUACGCAUAUCCACUGCUAUAUAUUCAAAUAACACUAAUCGGAAAGCAAUGAUGUAGCUUUACAGGACCAACCAGUAGCUAAGAAAUCAGGGGCUAAAAGAUUAUCUUGUCUAAGAGCUAGUACAUACUACAGAAUGAAUACUGCAGUAAGAAUUGAUAGAACACUUGAACAUUAGACUUGGUAAGCCACAACCCAUGCCGAAAAGAUAAAUAUUAAAUUAGAAACUGUACAUGGAAAGGCAUAAAUAAAGGAAUGAAAAAAGAAAAGCACCUGUAAUAGGACUGUAGACAAAAAUCAUAACUAUCGAGACAACCACAACAACGACAGAUCCCAGCAGUCCGACAGUCAAGAGCAUGAGCAGACGACAACCAUCAACAAAAAAAUGUUGGAUCCAACAGCAAACCCUAACCCAUCCCUACACAGAGCAAAAGCAAUAGAACAAUAAAAUGCCUAGAUGUGCAGCAGGACAUCCAACAGAUGCAUAUAGUAACAACUCACAACAAACAUUCUAUUAGUUGUCAGGCUCAAAGGUUCUAAACAUGUCUUAUAUAUUCUAAACCUUUACCUGCUAUGAUCCACCAUAUGGUGCUGCAAAUACUAAAAAAACAUAUUAAUAAAUGAUUUGUACAUCACGAUUACUACGUAACUACUAAAUUCUUAAAUUUGUCUCCAUUUCUAAUUAGAAUACGAUACUACUCUGAUAUACCUCCUGGUUGUGAUGAUACUGAAAACUAAACUAAAGCAGAAGAAGCCAAAUAAUAAAACCAUGGUGAUUACCAUAGGGAGAAGGCACUUCGACCCUGUAAUCUUAAAUAUUGGGAUGAAGAGGCUAAACUAAAGUAUUGCUGCGUAAUUAGUUGCCACCAAGAAGAGGCUAAAUCACACAGCCCUAACGAAACCAUGUUCCGGCCGCAAUCAGAUCAAGCAAUCUCUAACAAAGAAUGUACGCAAGCAGCACCAUGACGGGAAAAAGUGUAAUUAAUCUCUCUAGGGUUGCUAUAGCUGCUACUCUGCCUCUGUUUUCAGCAAAUGGAGCUAAGAAUGGAAAAUGGAAAACAGGAGGCAAAGUUUGUCGACAAGUAAGAGAUUGACUAAUAUCCUUCUUAACCUUCAUUGGCAUCUUUUUCAUCCUUGGAACCAGUACUUGAUCAGUACUUUCAUCUUUGACAUAAUCUGGGCCAUCUAUUUCAAACACGAAACCAUAAGUAGAACCGUCAAUCAUCCCCAACUUGCAGCUCAACUUAAUCCCAUCACUUAGAUUAGCAGCAUGUAGUGAGGCGCCAAGAACAAUUGCUUCAUCAACAUCAAGGUGCUUAUCUAGCUCACUCCAUCCCAGGAAUUCCUGCAGCUUAGCCUGGAACAGAGGAAUACAAAUGUGCCUCGUGAGUCAAAAAGUGACAAAUAAUAAAAACAAUGAGAUUCAAGAUAAUAAUAAAUGGUACAGAUAGAUAAGACAUGUAACUCUAUUCCAUAAGUAAAUGAAGUCCUCCGUAUGACUAACAGCAGUUUAUAAACUCCGUGCCAAAUACUGAAUUCCGUUCACGAUGAAACCUUCUUACGUGAGAAAAGGUGUAACAAGAAGCAGGCAGUCGCAUGCACCCAAGUUCUAAAAUCAGUUUAGUUUAUAUGAGCAUACACAGAAAGUUUCAGAAAUUCAACAAUGCAACAGUCCUGCAUUCCAUUACAGCCCCUCAAUGGCAAGUCAAGUAUAAGUCUUGAAUGAGGGAGUAAUAAUCACCUGCAGUUUCGGUACCCUGGUAGCUCCACCAAUUAGCUCUACAGCAUAUACGUCACCAAUUUUCAUGCCUGAUUGCGUAAGCACAUCUUUGAUUGGAGACAGAGCCUGCUCCCAUAAAUCUGCACAAAGCUCUUCAAAUUGUUCACGUGUUAUGGUGCUCCUGUAACAAACAGUAGGUAAAACCUUACUGUUGCAGUAUACAAAUGCAUAACACUACUGUUGCAGUCGGUCAGCAUGUAAAACCUUGAUUUUUUUCCUAACCAUGAUUUAGGAUUAAAGGUGCACUCUAUGCUGAAAAAAACUGAGGGAAAGCUGAAAGCAUGAGCUGGGGUAAAAGAUCAAUAAUCACAGAACAAAGCAGUAAGGAAUAAGGACAUCAAUGGCCAAUGGGCUACAGAAAAUACCAACAAUGACAAGUUAAAAAGCCGGUAUAAUCUUGCAAGUUCCACAUAAUCAUGAAUAUGCAAUGAAAAUGGAUGCAGAACUUCAAUGUAGUAGAAACUAUCCACAAGAGAUAUGCAAAAGCAGUACCAAAACAAAUUUCAUUCAAUUGAUACUGCAUCUACGCACAUUAAAGGAGACAAAGAAAUCAACUUGAUCUAUCAAAGGUCAGACCAUUUGGCAAAUAUGAAAUAAUAGGGCCUGUCAUCCAUGCUACUCCAGAUUAUGUUUGGUUACAAGCAAGAGGUUCAUGUGUUCAGAAUCGAUCCAGGACAUAAGAUGGAUCUUUUAAGUUCCAUAUAAACGGUCAUCCGAAGAUUAUGCAUGUACCAAAGGACACACCUGAAAUCGAUAUCAUUAUAUAGAGAUUCAACUGAGAUUGGAGGAGGGGUAUAUGCGCUCAGAAUUUCUUUGGUGCGCUUGACUUGCUUCUUCAACUUAGCCAUUGCUUUAGGAGACUGACGGAUGUCUGCUUAUUAAAUUGAUCUACGGAAUAAUUUACCAAACACAUUUCCAUUUCAAGGCCUCCCAGUUUGGAGUUCCAUCUGACAUCCUUAACCUGCAGAGGAAUUAGCUAAAAGCAUUAGCACUAGAUGCCUAUUCGAGAUAGCGGCUAAAAUUUCAUGUUUUUUUCAGUACAGUCAUCUAGCAUGUGAAAGCAGUAGUAACAACUUUUUCUUCAGAGAUCUUACAAACAGACAUAUGAGUUGAAGCAGAACUGGACAGCUAAAGGAGCUGGACAGGUGGGAAUUUUACCUGGAACUGGUUGACAGACACCAUCUUCCCGAACUCCUUGGCGCUGUAGGACGAACUGCUGCGCGGCCCGGGCGUGUUCGUUGACGAGCGCCAGGACGUUGAACCCGGCGAGCUGGGACGCUUGCGUGAGGGCCUGGCGCUCGGCCUGGCCGAAAUAGGGCGGCACGGCGACAACGGCGCCGCGCACGGAAGGCCAACGUGCGCGUCGGCAAUCCCCGAGGCAUAGUGGAGCACCAUGGCGACGGUCUCCUCGACGAUGUGGUUUGUUAUUCAGUUAAUUUGCUUGUCUCACUGGUUAAUAUGGAUAUAGGGAGGGUUAUUUUAUACCUUGGUGGAUCCACGAGAGGAAGUGAAGACAUCAUCGAUGCCGACGAACUGCAGCACCUUCUUGGGGACGCGGGCGGCCACGAUUCCAGACCCCCAGCGGGCUUGGCGUGGAUGAUGGCGCCGCGGAUGGCCGUGGCCGCCUCCUUGGCGCACUUGACGUUGAGGUCGACGUGGCCGUUGCCGUCGCCGCCGCCGACGAAAGUCUUGAAGCGGGUGCGCUGGCCGACGCGCGUCUGCUUCUGCACGGGGGUGAUCUUCAUCACCUCGUCCUUGAGCAGGAGCAGCUGCGGCGGCGAGCCGUGCUCCUCCUGCUGAGGACCGAGAGGGCGGGGAGGAGGAGACGACGCGACGGCGCGGCAGGGAGCGGAGGCUGGUGGCUAGGGUUAGGGUUUGAAGAGGAGAGAGAGAGAAAGAUAGAGGUGAGGUGGGAGGAAGAGGAGAGGGGUGGCGCGGGGUCGUGGNNNNNNNNNNNNNNNNNNNNNNNNNNNNNNNNNNNNNNNNNNNNNNNNNNNNNNNNNNNNNNNNNNNNNNNNNNNNNNNNNNNNNNNNNNNNNNNNNNNNNNNNNNNNNNNNNNNNNNNNNNNNNNNNNNNNNNNNNNNNNNNNNNNNNNNNNNNNNNNNNNNNNNNNNNNNNNNNNNNNNNNNNNNNNNNNNNNNNNNNNNNNNNNNNNNNNNNNNNNNNNNNNNNNNNNNNNNNNNNNNNNNNNNNNNNNNNNNNNNNNNNNNNNNNNNNNNNNNNNNNNGGCGGCGGCGGGGCAGGGAGGGGCGCGGGAGGGAGAGAGAGAGAGAGGCGGGCGCGGGAGGGGGAGAAGGAGGCGAGCGGGCUGGAGGGGGAGGGGAACGACGGUCUCUACGGCCUCGCCCCUGCCUGCGCUAUAGGAUCUUUUCCCAGCCAAGUGAAAUGACAAGAAUGCCCUCGGCGGGGCAGUGUAAUUAUGCGCGGUGGCACGGCCGGGCGGGAAACAGCUCAUAGGGAAAAUAUCGAACGGUUGGAGACGACCGGGUAAAUAUCCGACGGCCCACAACGACCGAGCCCGAGAUCCAACGGCCAGAACGCAAUCAAGAAAACGAUCGGACGGCCGAGAAGCUCUAAUCGCUGAGGAGCCUCCUGCAUCCACUCCUCUCUUAUUUCUGGAUAUAUGACCUUGGCCUUCUCGCAAAAAGAAAGAAAGAAAAGGAAAGGAAUGCAAAUUUCGUUCGAUUCACACACAUGGCUUGGUUUUCUGUUACAGAGACAGGACUGUCCCGACGACGAUAACUGAAUCAUCAGGGUGGAGGAACAAGAACGAAGUCAAGAAUGGCCAGCAGCCUGCAGGUCGCCUAGAGCAGGGACCUUGUCACCUCGUAGGCGAGGAAGCAGGCGCCGUUGGCCGGGACGCUGCGCGCCAUGGCCGGUCCGAACCCCCUGUACAGACCCCUGGCCCCGUCGGCGGCGAGGAUCUUCUUGAACGCGUCCAUGGAGCCCGAGUACUUUGGGUUCUUGAAGUCGUCCACCUGGAGCUUGCUCUUCACCACGUCGGUCGGGUACACGGAUCCCCAGAACGCCGCGCCGGCGACCCCGCCGGCGAGGAUCAGGGAGCCCCUGCCCAGCCCCGACGUGUCCUGCCCGCCGGCAAUGAACUGCUUCGUGGCCUCGUAGACGCCGAACAUGAGCGCGUUGCCGGGGAUCUCGCGCGCCAUUGUGGGGACGAGGCCCUUGAAGAGGCCCCGCACGCCGCCCUCCGACCGCAGCACGUGCCUCGCCACGUCCAGCGGCCCGCCAUACUUCACCGCGGCAGCGGCCGUGGCGGUCACGGUGGCGGCCGCGCCGCCCGCGGGAGCAGCGGCGGCGGCAGGAGCGGCGGUGGCAAGCGCGCUCUGCGCCUGCAGCCUGCACUUGAUGAGCUCGGUGGGGCAGGCGAGGAAGGAGACGGCGACGCCGGCCCCGGCGCCGGCGACGACCUGCUGGCCGACGGUGAGCGCGGCGCCGGGCUCGGAGCGCAGCAGGGCCUCCAUCUGGCCCCUGACGGUGAAGAGCACGGCGUUGAAGGCGGCGACGGUGGCGAGCGGGGCGCCCAUGCCCUUGUACAGGCCCCGGGGGCCCUCGGCCGAGAUGGUCUGCUUGACGGCGUCCAUGGCGCCGGCGAACUUGGGCGGCUGGCCGGGCGGCGGCGUGGGCUGGCUCUGCAGCUUCACCUUGAUGGUGUCGAACGGGUGGCCGACGACCAGCUGCGCCGCGCCGCCCACCGUGCCGGCGGCCAGGUCCUUGGCCACGUCCCCCAUCUGCUCCCACAGCGAUUUGGGUUGGGAUGGAUCCCGGUUAGUUUCGUCGCUGCUUUGCUUUGCUUUGCUGAUUUGUUUAAGUUUGGAGAUAAUAAGACAUGAAAAUCGAGCAUCAACAGCCUGUCAAUGUUCGCAUCCUAUACGGUACGAUACCGUUUGACGGGAUACGAUCCUGUCAAACCACAAAGACCAGUAGCGCCAUCCUGGCAACCUUGCAGCAUCGACACAAAUCUCUAUGCGAAAACCGCUGGCGAGAGCGAAACCACAGAAGCACGACAGUAAACUACUCCGUGUAAGUUUAAAAAAUAAACUUCUCUGUAUCCCCUGUCCCCCAAAAGCUGCUGUCAAACUGUGGCUUUGGCACUUUUAAAUCAAAUUCGGGUGGGCAAUCUCUCCCCUAACGAUCAUUCAAAAAAAAAAUCCGAGAAUAUAUAAACACAGACGCCCAACAAGUUUCAACCCUAUCAUCACAAUCCUGACACAUACGCAGUCAGCACAGCAAUGCAACAUGACAGCCUGUCUCAACUCUCAAGUCUCAACUAGAUCAACAAAGCUUUGGAUUUGUUUGUGCCUCAAGAAGGACAAGGCACAUUCAGCAAGAACUUGAAAAGACCAUCGCAUCCGAUGAAUCUGAAGGCGCGGGCAUUCACAGGAGGAAAUGGAAGAGAAUUACCUUGACUCCGAGGCGAAAUGGAGCUGGACUCAAUCCGCCCUUCCACCCAGAACAAAGAUGAGAAGAGAACACACCACUACCCAGCGGCAAAAAAAUACAGGCCAGGAAGAAGGGAGAGGUGGUUCAGAUGCCAAGCAAGCCCAGAACCACCCACCCACCCCCUCACCAGACGCUGCAACCAAACAAAACCACAAAGGCGCACCCACAUCGCCGUCAGACAAUCGCUCCCUCACCAUUGGAUCGCCGUCGGAUGGCCAAUCCACUCCCAGCCAACCAUUACCACAAGCCAAAUCACCAACUACUACACUUGCUCACUCCAAACGUGACACACGCACAGGACAGGUAAAGCUCAACCUUUAUUUCAUCAACAAUCCCGCCAUUGCUGCCAGUCUAUGCAAGGUUUUCGGAAACAACGUCGCAGUAAAGAAGAAUUGUUUGCCAUGGUCCUCAAUUCUGUCUCAGUUGCUCUGUGUAAUGCCGCAUCGGAGAAGAGACGGAGGCCGCGCUGGGACCUUUGCGGAUCAGCCCAAGGCCGAUCGCGUGAUCUCAUAGGCCACGAAGGUGGCGGCGUUUGCCGGGACACUGCGUGCCAUGGCGGGGCCGAACCCCUUGUACAGGCCCUUCACCCCGUCGGCCGCGACGAUCUUCUUGAGAGCGUCGAUCGACCCCGAGUACCUUGGCUUCUUGUAGUCGUCCACCUGGAUCACGCUCUUCACGACGUCGGUUGGGUACACCGUGAGCCACAGAGCUCCUCCGGCGAGGCCCCCGGCAAGGAUGAGAGAGCCCUGGCCGAGGCCUGACGUGUCCUGACCGCCGGCCAUGUACUGCUUGACGGCCUCGUAGACGCCGAACAUUAUAGCGUUGCCGGGGAUCUCACGGCCCAUUGUUGGGACAAUGCCCUUGAACAGACCUUUGACGCCAGCGUCCCUCAUGACAUGCCUCGCCACAUCCAUUGGCCCUUUGGGUAGCGCCACGCGGGAGACAGCACCUGCUUCAGCUAAAGAGCUCUGGGCCUGCAACCUGCAUACCAGCAAAUAACUCAGCAGCUGUAGUAUGGUAUGUCUUGCACCUCUCUUCAAUAACACAUAUGAAAAUACAAAAAAAAAAAGACUAUAUAUAUUCUUUGGAUGCGCGCCAGUCAAACAAAAUCAAGUGCAGCACUCCAUCACUCCCAAAUGUAGUGUAAGUCAUCAUCUAUCCAAGAUGAGUUUUGCAAAGGUAUAAUCACAACACAAAUAAGGUACAGAGUUUGUUUGUAGUUAAUCGACACCAUAAUUCAGCUUUUUUUAGCUAUGCAGUCUUAUGUCUUAGACCUCUCUUCUUCAAUAACACAUAUGAAAAUACAAAAACGACUAUAUACAUUCUUUGGAUGCGCCCAUUGCCAGCCAAACAAAAUCAAGUGCAGAACUGCAACAGCUCUAUCCAAGAUGAGCUUGCAAAGGGGAUAAUCCAAAUGCUAAUAAGGUACAGAGAUUGUUUGUAGUUGACAGACACAUAAAUCAGUUUCUUUUAGCUAUGCAGUCUUAUUGCAUUUGCCUUAAGAGCACUAGGAAAUGAAUCCUUCAGAGGAUUUUUCAGUGACCCUAGAAUCGACAGAAGCAACGCACUGCAGCAAUGAAUCACAUGGUGGGGGGAAGUCAGAUAAACUGUGAUACAGAGGAAUGCAUACUGUAGACCCAAACGUUAAUUGCCAGGGACUUACUUCCUACUGACUAGAGACACGGUUCAGUUUUUCAGCUAUGCACCAAUGCCUAUAUAUGAAAUUUAACUGAUCAGAGUCAGGUGCUUUCUUUCCAUAACCCUAUACUACCUUUAUCACGAAUUACUUGUCGCAGAAAUGGAUGUAUCUAGAACUAAAAAUACGUCUAGAUACAUUCAUUUCUGCGGCAAGUAAUUCUAGACGGAGGGAGUAGUUCAUUAACCCAUAGUGGCAAUGCGUUGACAUAAUGCAAGAUAAACACGCUGAACUUUGAUACUCCCUCCGUAAACUAAUAUAAGGCGUUUAGAUCACUACUUUAGUAAUCUAAACGCUCUUAUAUUUCUUUACGGAGGGAGUACAAUGGAAUGCAUGGCAAGGAAGUACAUAGCAUGAAUGACAUCUAGUGAAUGCAGAAAAGGGCAACUUCAGAGAAAAAUGAAUAUCAUGACUUUAGCGCAACAUGAAUGACAUCUGGUGUGUGCAGAAAAGGGCAACUUCAGAGAAUGAUGAAUAUCAUGACUAUAUCGUAUAAAUUAUAAUCUCGCCUACAAAACCUCCAAACUUCAUCAAAUGAUGUGGAGAUUAGAUCAGAUGAUGAAAGUACAUUAAAUGAAAAUUGGCACGGUGCAACUUUGGUUACCUGCACUUGAUCAGCUCGGUUGGGCAUGCCAGGAAGGAGACCGCAAGCCCAGCACCAGCACCAGCGACGACCUGCUGCUUUACCGUUAAUGGCGCCCCGGGCUCCGAUCUCAAGAGAGUCUCCAUCUGGCCCCUCACAGUGAACAGGAGAGCGUUGAAGGCUGCAACAGUAGCGAGAGGAGCCCCCAUUCCCUUGUACAAUCCCCUGGGCCCUUCAGCCGCAACCGUUUGCUUGACAGCAUCAAAGGCGCCGGCAUACUUAAGAAGCUGGCCUGGAGCAGGGCUGGGCUGGCUCUGGAGCUUGACCUUGAUGGUGUCAAAUGGGUGCCCAACAACCAGAUUGGCGAUCCCUCCGACGGUUCCGGCUGUCAAGUCCUUGGCAAUGUCCCCCAUCUGCUGAAUACAAUGCAAUCAAAUUACAUGAUCCUGUAUUCAAUCAUGAUUCAUUAUUUUCUUUGCCCCAUGUGAGAAGGAUUUGGGAGCAUAUUUCUUUUUAGGAUAGUUGGUUGAUCACACAUGUAAUGUACUAGGAUACAACAAUGAGUAAAACAUACUGAUAAUAAUUUGAAUGAUGUCAUAGGUUGAUAAGUAAUCAGAGUCAUCGAGCCAUUCUUUUAGUUGAUUGAUCGUCCGAAUCGCAGACAGAUGCAUCAAUUAAUAGCAGAUACGUACUACUCCCUCCGUCCGAAAAUACUUGUCAUCAAAAUGGAUGAAAAGGGAUGUAUCUAGAACUAAUAUACAUCUAGAUACAUCCCAUUUUAUUCAUUUUGAUGAUAAGUAUUUCCGGACGGAGGGAGUACAUCUUUAUUCCUGCAUACGCAGUGAAGUGUUUGUAUAUCUAACUGAAAAACAAAACAAAACAGAGAGGGCUUGCAUCUAUCAGGGCGGGGCACAGUUGGGGUUCGUUCAAUAGAACCCCCAAAAUUUCUCUGAAAAUAAUCUUGCCCCCGAGAACUAAGCCCAGCGUAUAGGAUCAACUCGGACCGAACGCUGCGCGCUCCAGAAGAAGAACGACCUAGCGGAACCAGGGACGCACGGAAGGGUAGCGCGUGGCAUCGGGAACGGAGUGGAUCAGCGGGCCACCGCCGCCGGCAAACGGACCGGCGGCGAAGAGCACGGGGACGACGAGCGAGCGGGGCCACGAUUCCUCAAUGCCACGGCGAGGGAAGAGCGGCAGGAACCGUUGGCAAAUCCGUCCGAUCACGGCGUGGAAAACGAGGAAGGCGGCGUCGCUUACCGCGAGAAGGAGGAGAGAUCACCGCAACCCGGCCUCUCCGUCUCCUCGCCGUCGGAGAGGAGGAGCGAGUGAGGAGUGGCUGGAUUGGAACAAUGGGAUUCGGAAUCGCGGGGCUGCUGCUUUUGGAGUCGGGGUUUAUUCAGUCGAGCUGGGGCAGGCGGGGCCAGGGCACGGAAUUCCGGGUCUGUCUGGCUGGGUUGGUGGCUCCCUCCCAUUUCCUUUCCUUUCUAGUAGCGCUCUGCACGUAUCCCAUCGGCGAUACGAUGCGGUGUGGCGAAAGGAGGGGGGACACGCACGCUGCCGUUACACGGAGAUCAAUCAGUCAAUCAGCCGAGAUCUGAUCCGGGAAGGACGAAAACAGAAGCCACGACGAGGUCGCUCGCUCGCUCGCAGUGCUGCACGUGUUCUCACGACGAUUCUCAUUGGAUAGAUUGGCACAUGGAGACGGUGACAAGCGUGCAUGGGCUGCGGAUUCAGGGAUCGCUCGUGCUGCCACAGGUGCGUAGGUACCUACCCUUUGCGGAGCAGUACUAGCAAAUUGCGGUGCGUACUACGGAAUUUGGGUUUCUCGUACCGCAAUUUUUGCGGUGUUUCAUCAAGUGCCAAACAAUGCAUAAUUCCACGAAGCACGCUCCAAUUGCUACACAAACGCGCGCAGUACGUACCAAAUUUCAGGAUCAAGCUCUGAAAACCACCACGCGAGGCUGCCAGAGAACCGUGCGGCCGGCCGGCCUGACUGCGAAGCUGACAAAAGUGAGGCCGGCCGCAUUGCGGUUGGUGCGAUGGAAAAUGGUGUCCACAUUCGUCGCAUACCAAUUCGAUCCUGACCACUGAGAUGCGAGCUCCUACUGGCCUGGAGACCUAUAUCUCCCCCCCUGACGGCAGAACUGAUCCCCACCCCCCUAGGGUUCGCCACCAUCCCCCCCGUCGCCGCCAUGGCAAUCUAAAUUUAGUCUGGAUUCGGUGUGAUCUGUUCGUCUCUGGUAAUUUCUCGGCUGACGAUUGUUUCCCUGCUGGUCCUUCCGAUCAUCUGUUUGAACCCAAGCAGUUUAGCUUCUCGCGUGAUUUCUGGGCGAGGAAGACUGGCAAAAUUCCUUUCGCUACGAUAGCUAGGAAGAUGGCUGGAUCUGGUCAAAUCAGGCCAAAGGGGGGACGGAGUGGAGGCGGCCGUGGUCGCAAUGAUGUUGCCCGGCCUCCGGUCCCUCCUCCUGCACCUCCUCCAGUGACUGCGCCGCCGCUGCGUGCUUCUGCGCCAAAUCCAAACCCCGCUACCAUUCAGCAAGGACCGCCUCUGUCGAUCUUCGCCAAGCCCCCUAUCAUCCCUAUCGGGUCAAGCUCUGUGAAUAUGAUGCACCCAGCUUUGGGUCAGGUGUACCCUGGUUUUUCUGCUCCCAACUACCAGUACCCUCAAAUGUCCCCUUGGAUGCAACAAACCCAAUUCCAAUUCCCUUACAUGCAGCAGAAUCUUCCUGUCCAGUUUCAACAACCUCAACAGCCUGUCAGUACUGGGAGUGCUUCUGGAGGGAGUAGUCAGGUGGGAACUGGAAAAAACAAGAAGAAGAACAGAACAGGUGCAAAAAAACAAGCUAAUUCUGCUGCCACUGGGACCAUGGAUGGUGUUGUUGGACAAGGUGGUACAGAUGUUGAGGAAUUUAUGGUAGAUCCUAAGUACAUUGGCACAAUUUGCUACAACUAUGGCCUCCCUGGCCACUUUGUUGGCAUGUGCUCUGUCACAAAAGUCUGUUUUAUCUGCAAAACACCAGGCCACCACAUGGAUGCUUGCCCCAAGUGGUAUGAUCCAUACCCAGCUGCUCAAUACUGGGGGAGUGCCGACACUGGUCUAGGAUUUUUCCACAUUGAAGCUGGAGACAAGAGUGAUAGUAACUGGCUCAAUUUUGGUAAUGUUGGUCUGGUUGUUGUGGAAGAAGGUAAUAUUACUGCUGGUGAAUGGAGAGUUGUUUUGCUAGCAUGUGGAAAACUAACUGGCCUUGGCAGAUCAGAGCGUAUGAUGAUACUCAAUUCUUGGUCAGGUUUCCCCCUAAUAAAAAGAUUGUUGACCUAGUUGCUUUUAAAUCCAUCAAUCUGAAAAAAGCUGGUGUUACUAUCUCCUUCAAAGAUUGGCAUGGUGAACUUCCUCCUUUUGACUCUCUUAAAGAAGUUUGGGUUAGUAUUAUUGGCAUCCCUCCUGUUUGGUGCUCUUGGCCAGUGAUUGCCCAAAUUGCUUCCUCUCUGGGUGUCAUUGUCAAUGUUGAUUGGCAUGAGAUCUUCAGGAGUUUCUAUGAGGUUGUCAAAAUUCAAGUGGCAGUGAGGAAUCCUCUUCAGAUCCCUAAAGAUAGACUGGUUGAGAUCCAUCAGGAGUUAUAUCUACUCAAUUUUGAGGUUGAUGAUGAUGUUACUGCUGAUUCUCCCUCUCACAGCCACCCAAAGGGCCCCCCUGGUCCCCCUAGUGGGAACAAUGGAGACAAGAAUGCUGACAGGAACAGUGAAGGGGAUAAGGAUAGCGAUGAUGAUCUGCUGGGAGAAGAAAUGGAGCAGGAUGCCAACAAUCAGCUUACUAGGAAUGCCACUUCUGCUCCCAGUGGAUCUAAGACUAGGGUCAGCUACUCGCUCCCUUGCACUCUUGUUGAGCGUUCCCCCCUGGGCUUUUCUGCUAUGUCUAACUGCCAGGUGGCUCCUGUCACCAAAAGCUAUGUUGAUGCUGUUAAGAAAACCAAACUAGUGGACUGUGGCAACAGUCUGUUGGUGCAGUUCAACUCUAUGAGUAAUGUCACUACCAACAUUGGUGUCAACACUAUGCCGCCGCCUGCUACUACAUUCUCUUGCCCAGCUCCCCAGCCUCUGGCCAAUAGGCCUGACAAAGGGAAGUGGGGCCCUGUGGUUGCCACUAGGAUGAGCAACAAGAUAAAGAGAGAUGGUAAAAAUGCUAUAGCUAAGGCUCAAGAUAUUAAAAAAGUGCAAAACCUGGAAGUUCCCAGAGGUAGCACUGCAGCCUUUUCUAUUAAUUCAUUUGCUUGCUUAGAUAAUGAUUUGCUCUUACAUAAUGCUAAUUUGUCUGGUUUAAAACUUGGGAAUGAUCCUAGUAGUUGCAAUAAUAACAUUGAAUUCAUUAAGAAAUUUGAGCUUGAUAGGUUGUCUAAAUUCCAUAAAGAUAACCCUGACAUGUUUCUUCCUCCUGGCACUGAUGCUGAUGGUGAGGUUUCUGUUAGUAAUUUUAUUGACACUGAGAAGCAUCCUUCCCCUAGCACUGAAAAAAUUUCAGAUAAGGAAGAAGGUGAGCUCCCUUGGGUGGAAGUAUCUCACCAAAGGAACAAAAAAGUGUCAACUAGAAAAAGAUAUAAUAAUUAUAAUCAUUUCCCAUGAUUGGUGCCUUCUGGAAUAUCAGAGGCCUAAAUGGCUCUAUUAAGUGUUCUAGAGUGCAAGAGCUUAUAAAAGCUUGUAGCCCUGACUUUAUUUGUUUAUCUGAGACAAAAAAAGCCAAUUUCACCAUACCAAAGCUAGAGGCCAUAGACUCUAGAAAUGGUUUUGUGUGGAAUUGGCUACCUGCUUCAGGUACUGCAGGUGGUAUCCUAGUAGGUGUUAAAGAGGAUUCUUUUGACAUCCUCCAGUGUGAGAUAGGAACCUUUUGUAUUUCUUGUAUUUUGAAAUUUAAGCAUAAUAAUACCAGAUGGAGAUUGAUAUCUGUGUAUGGUUCUGCUUAUGAUGAGUUCAAGAUUGAUUUUCUCAAUGAGCUUCACAGUGUCCUUGCCGGUUGGUCAGGACCUACUCUUGUAGGGGGUGAUUUCAACCUGGUAAGGGAUUCUAGUGAAAAAAUACUGGUAAUAUUAACCAGCAUUGGGCUGAUCUGUUUAAUGAUUGGAUUAACAACUUUGGCCUAAUUGAGAUCAAAAAUGCAGGGAGGAGCUAUACUUGGGCAAAUAAUCAAGAUAACUUGAUUAUGGCCACCCUAGACAGAGUGUUUGUUUCUGUAGAUUGGGAUAGUAUCUUUCCUGGGGCCUCCUUAAAAGCCCUACCCAGAGUGGGGAGUGAUCAUACACCUCUGGUUUUAAAUACCACCUCUGGGCCCCCGAAUGCUACUUCUAAAUUCUUUAGAUUUGAAAAAUGGUGGCUGAAUAUUCCUGGGUUUGAUGAUGUUAUUCAUAAAGCCUGGAACACCAAGUGCAAAGCCACCAAAGCCAUUGAUGUCUGGAAAUUUAAGAUUAGGGCCACCAGGAAAGUUGCGAAAGGCUGGUGUGCUAAUUAUGAAGCUGACCAUAACAGGAAAAAGCAGGCCUUGGUGGCUGAAUACAAUUGCCUAGAUAUACUUGCUGAAUCUCAACCUUUGUCUCCUAACUCUAAGAAUAAUAUGAAAAAAAUUGCAGGCGAGCUGAAUGAAAUUUGGAGAAAAGAGGAGAUCAAAGCAAGAUAGAGAUCCAGAGAGAAGGAGAUCUUGGAGGGGGGGUAUAACACUGGUUAUUUCAAAGCUGUGGCUAAUCAGAAGAGGAGGAAGAAG